UGAGGAAUAUUGGUCAAUGGGCGAGAGCCUGAACCAGCCAAGUAGCGUGCAGGAUGACGGCCCUAUGGGUUGUAAACUGCUUUUAUAAGGGAAUAAAGUGAGUCUCGUGAGACUUUUUGCAUGUACCUUAUGAAUAAGCAUCGGCUAACUCCGUGCCAGCAGCCGCGGUAAUACGGGGGAUGCGAGCGUUAUCCGGAUUCAUUGGGUUUAAAGGUGCGUAGGCGGCUUUGCAAGUCAGCGGUGAAAGGCCCGGGCUCAACCCGGAAAGUGCCGUUGAUACUGUGAGGCUGGAAUGCGGAUGCUGUGGAGGAAUGAGUGGUGUAGCGGUGAAAUGCAUAGAUAU
Molecule: ribosomal RNA, 343 nt
Filed under: uncultured Prevotella sp.
Lineage: Bacteria; Pseudomonadati; Bacteroidota; Bacteroidia; Bacteroidales; Prevotellaceae
Description: bacterial SSU rRNA
Rfam family: Bacterial small subunit ribosomal RNA
Source: RNAcentral